ACCCGCUGGAGGGAGCCCCCGCCCCGCGCCGUGACGACUGCGGACCCGCCGAGCCCCGCUCCCGCCGCGGCCCGGGGUGCGGGCGGGCGGCCCCUCGGCGGGAGCCGGCCAGGAUGCUGGGGAGAUGAGCAAUGGAUGAUUUUGGCUUCCUCUGAAUAACUCCUGAGAGGGCAUGUGUAGUUCCUCUGUGGGAGGACAUUGUCACCUGUGUCAACAGAUUUGAGGCUUUAGCUAAACUUGUGAGAGCAAACAUUGAAGUUGUUCUACCAUCCAUUUUCAGUUCCCUCAAGUGACAGCCAUGGUGUUUAGAAGGGGAAACUUCAUCUUCAGAUCCAGAGGAGGGCUCUGGUUGCUCUAAACCACUUGGAAUAAUCCCAUUUCCCAGUCAUAGUGAUUGAUGCAGAUGUUAUAAACUCCAUGGAAGUUCGCUUAAUAGUGUCCCAUAACUGACCAUUGUCUUGAUACACACUGGGUUCAUAAGAAAGACACGGCAUGUGGAAGACACUGUGGAUGAGGUGAAUGAGGAGUUCUUCCAGCUCUCUUCUCCAGUCCUGGAGCUCCAGAAAGAGGAGGAUGAGCCAGACCCACUGCCUCCAGGUGAAGACAGCACAUUUGUGGUGGCUCCCAGCAUCUCCCCUUGUGAGUGGCAGGAAGAUAAACUUCACCCACUGGAGACAAGUGGCCCAGACGGAGAGAAGCUGGGACCCUGGGCCCUGAAGAGCCACCGGGCCCUGGAGCUGGAGGUGAGGAGAGUCCACCUGGCUCAGAGGAUUGAAGACCUGGAGUGGAAGCUGUCCUUGCUCCUUCAGGUGGCCAACAGCAGUUCGAGCAUGGGAGGGAGCUGGCUCAGCUGACAUAGCAGCCUAAGGGGCACUGAGUCACAUCAGAUGCUGCAUGGUGGCCACCUCCGGGAGGUGCCUUCUCACCGAGAACAUGAACGGGCUCCCCUGGUAGGAAGGAGUGGGCAUCUGGGGCCCGGAGUGUGUGCUGGUUUCACGACGUGCUCCUACAGGGAAACACCUGGAUUUCUUUCAGAGCCUGGACCUCAGCUUGUGCUCAAUUCUGCCUUGAACUUUCUGGGGUGGGGGAAAAUAAACUGACAUGGGUUGACAAAA
Molecule: long non-coding RNA, 1115 nt
Organism: Lemur catta (Ring-tailed lemur)
Lineage: Eukaryota; Metazoa; Chordata; Mammalia; Primates; Lemuridae
Exons: 6
Source: RefSeq, a predicted model, not a curated record